This 313-nucleotide ribosomal RNA is filed under the name uncultured Arcobacter sp. Its description in RNAcentral is "bacterial SSU rRNA". It matches the Rfam family "Bacterial small subunit ribosomal RNA", at positions 29 to 334 of the family's 1533-position model. The record is from RNAcentral. Lineage: Bacteria; Pseudomonadati; Campylobacterota; Epsilonproteobacteria; Campylobacterales; Arcobacteraceae.
AGUGAACGCUGGCGGCGUGCUUAACACAUGCAAGUCGAACGAGAACGGGUAUUAGCUUGCUAAUACUGUCAGCUAAGUGGCGCACGGGUGAGUAAUAUAUAGUUAAUCUGCCCUAGAGAAGGGGAUAACGUUUGGAAACGAACGCUAAUACCCUAUAUGCCUUUAAAACAUAAGUUUGCAAGGGAAAUAUUUAUAGCUCUAGGAUGAGACUGUACGGUAUCAGCUAGUUGGUGAGGUAAUGGCUCACCAAGGCAAUGACACCUAACUGGUUUGAGAGGAUGAUCAGUCACACUGGAACUGAGACACGGUCCAG